CGGCAUUCAGAAAAGCUAGCGGGCCGGGGAUAGCAGAUGGGUCUUCACCGACAUCCACGACGCAGAGGCCGGUUGAGAGCACAUCGGCCGAAUUACGUCAGCAGACCAGCAGACCAGUCGUGAUGGAUUGGCGGGGCUCCGUGUCGAUAAAGGGUCCAGGCCAAUUGGCAAUAGAGAGAGAAGACAAAGAGCAUGUGCUCUUGACCACUCCCACAAGAGGUCGCCGUGUCUUGGAGCACUCCACUCUCAGCCAGCACUGCAGGAGGUGAUGGACGUGGAGGGAGUGUGCCUGGAGGAAGAGGAGGAGGAGAAGGUGAGGGAGGUCACCAUCACCCAUGGAGAGGACUCGGAGCUCAGCGUCAGUUUCCAAGGGUACGCGGCUGAGCUCCGGCAGUGCCAGAGUCGAAUGAAGACCUCCCAGGUGCCCCUCAACACCCACGAUCAAUCAGAAGGGAACGAAGACUCCAAGACUGACAUAUACAAGGCCACCAUUGUGUGAGCUCUGAGGCUGACCAACCCUCACCAGCACUUUCCAAGCUUGAUUCACGGUCUGUUCAAACAGAAACUUACUUGAUGAACAAGGGACUUUUACUGUAAAAAACUGUCGUUUUUCAUGCCAGA
Long non-coding RNA from Oncorhynchus tshawytscha (Chinook salmon), 621 nucleotides. The record is from Ensembl. NCBI's taxonomy places the organism in Eukaryota, Metazoa, Chordata, Actinopteri, Salmoniformes, Salmonidae.